Acanthosepion pharaonis is the source of this 113-nucleotide non-coding RNA. Lineage: Eukaryota; Metazoa; Mollusca; Cephalopoda; Sepiida; Sepiidae. The record is from the annotation of a GenBank genome assembly.
ACGGUUACAUAAACGUUAAAACACCGGUUGUCGUAUGAUCACUGAAAUUAAGCAACGUCGAGCCUGGUCAGUACUUAGAUGGGUGACCGAUUGGAAAUACUAGAUACUGUAAG